This 924-nucleotide non-coding RNA is filed under the name Pseudopaludicola sp. 1 ACPVM-2014. RNAcentral describes it as "partial 12S ribosomal RNA". It matches the Rfam family "Bacterial small subunit ribosomal RNA". Lineage: Eukaryota; Metazoa; Chordata; Amphibia; Anura; Leptodactylidae. The record is from RNAcentral.
UGGUCCCAGCCUUGAAAUCAGUUAUUACUUAAUAUACACAUGCAAGUAUCCGCACCCCUGUGAGAACGCCCUUAAAUCCCCGAUAGGGAUAAGGAGCUGGUAUCAGGCACCCCAUCACCGCCCAAGACACCUAGCUAUGCCACACCCUCAAGGGAAUUCAGCAGUGAUUAACAUUGACAAUAAGCGACAGCUUGACUCAGUUAAAGUAAAAAGAGCCGGCUAAUCUGGUGCCAGCCGCCGCGGUUACACCACGUGGCUCAAACUGACCUCCAUCGGCGUAAAGCGUGAUUAAAGCCUUUUUCCAUUAGAGUAAAAUUAAAACUAAGCUGUGACACGCUUGUUAUUAAGAAAACCAAAAUCGAAAGAUACUCUAAUUUAUUCAACUUGAACUCACGACAGCUAAGAAACAAACUGGGAUUAGAUACCCCACUAUGCUUAGCCGUAAACUUUAACUUACAUUUAUAUCGCCUGGGAACUACGAGCAAAGCUUAAAACCCAAAGGACUUGACGGUACCCCACAUCCACCUAGAGGAGCCUGUCCUAUAAUCGAUAAUCCCCGCUUAACCUCACCCCCUCUAGCCUAUCAGCCUGUAUACCUCCGUCGUCAGCUUACCACGUGAGCGCAUCUUAGUGAGCCUAAUGUCCACACGCCAAAACGUCAGGUCAAGGUGCAGCACAUGAGGGGGAAAGAGAUGGGCUACACUCUCUAACCUAGAAUAUACGAAUAACUACCCAUGAAAACUAGUUUAAAGGCGGAUUUAGAAGUAAAAAGAAACCAUAGUGUUCUUUUUAACCUGGCACUGGGGUGUGUACACACCGCCCGUCACCCUCUUCAAAGCCCAAUAUAAGUUCUUAACCAACCCCCUGCUAAAUAGAAGAGGCAAGUCGUAACAUGGUAAGUAUACCGGAAGGUGUGCUUGGAAA